CCUACGGGUGGCAGCAGUGAGGAAUAUUGGUCAAUGGGCGCUAGCCUGAACCAGCCAAGUAGCGUGAAGGAUGACUGCCCUAUGGGUUGUAAACUUCUUUUAUAUGGGAAUAAAGUGAAGUAGGUAUACUGCUUUGCAUGUACCUUAUGAAUAAGGAUCGGCUAACUCCGUGCCAGCAGCCGCGGUAAUACGGAGGAUCCGAGCGUUAUCCGGAGUUAUUGGGUUUAAAGGGAGCGUAGGCGGGUUGUUAAGUCAGUUGUGAAAGUUUGCGGCUGAACCGUAAAAUUGCAGUUGAUACUGGCAGCCUUGCGUACAUUAGUGGUCGGCGGAAUUCGUGGUGUAGCGGUGAGAUGCUUAGAUAUCACGAAGAACUCCGAUUGCGCAGGCAGCCUGCUGGACUGUAACUGACGCUGCUGCUCGAACGUGUGGGUAUCAAACAGGAUUAGAUACCCGAGUAGUC
Molecule: ribosomal RNA, 460 nt
Filed under: uncultured bacterium
Lineage: Bacteria
Description: partial 16S ribosomal RNA
Rfam family: Bacterial small subunit ribosomal RNA
Source: RNAcentral